RNAcentral lists this transfer RNA (76 nucleotides) under Chloroflexota bacterium. RNAcentral's name for it is "Chloroflexi bacterium tRNA-Ala". It matches the Rfam family "tRNA". Rfam says of the family: Transfer RNA (tRNA) molecules are approximately 80 nucleotides in length. Their secondary structure includes four short double-helical elements and three loops (D, anti-codon, and T loops). RNAcentral also lists the same sequence under 3 other names. The record is from RNAcentral. Lineage: Bacteria; Bacillati; Chloroflexota.
GGGGAUAUAGCUCAAUUGGGAGAGCGCUGCCUUCGCAUGGCAGAGGUUGCGGGUUCGAGUCCCGCUAUCUCCACCA